RNAcentral lists this ribosomal RNA (253 nucleotides) under uncultured bacterium. RNAcentral's name for it is "partial 16S ribosomal RNA". It matches the Rfam family "Bacterial small subunit ribosomal RNA", at positions 524 to 776 of the family's 1533-position model. The record is from RNAcentral.
UACGGAGGGUGCAAGCGUUAUCCGGAUUCACUGGGUUUAAAGGGUGCGUAGGUGGCUUUGUAAGUCAGUGGUGAAAUACCGGAGCUCAACUCCGGAACUGCCAUUGAUACUGCUUAGCUUGAAUCAGGUCGAGGUGGAUGGAAUAUUACAUGUAGCGGUGAAAUGCUUAGAUAUGUAAUAGAACACCGAUUGCGAAGGCAGUUCACUAGGCCUGAAUUGACACUGAGGCACGAAAGCGUGGGGAUCAAACAGG